GGGUGAGUAAUGUCUGGGAAACUGCCUGAUGGAGGGGGAUAACUACUGGAAACGGUAGCUAAUACCGCAUAACGUCGCAAGACCAAAGAGGGGGACCUUCGGGCCUCUUGCCAUCAGAUGUGCCCAGAUGGGAUUAGCUAGUAGGUGGGGUAAUGGCUCACCUAGGCGACGAUCCCUAGCUGGUCUGAGAGGAUGACCAGCCACACUGGAACUGAGACACGGUCCAGACUCCUACGGGAGGCAGCAGUGGGGAAUAUUGCACAAUGGGCGCAAGCCUGAUGCAGCCAUGCCGCGUGUGUGAAGAAGGCCUUCGGGUUGUAAAGCACUUUCAGCGAGGAGGAAGGUGGUGAGCUUAAUACGCUCAUCAAUUGACGUUACUCGCAGAAGAAGCACCGGCUAACUCCGUGCCAGCAGCCGCGGUAAUACGGAGGGUGCAAGCGUUAAUCGGAAUUACUGGGCGUAAAGCGCACGCAGGCGGUUUGUUAAGUCAGAUGUGAAAUCCCCGGGCUCAACCUGGGAACUGCAUUUGAAACUGGCAAGCUAGAGUCUCGUAGAGGGGGGUAGAAUUCCAGGUGUAGCGGUGAAAUGCGUAGAGAUCUGGAGGAAUACCGGUGGCGAAGGCGGCCCCCUGGACGAAGACUGACGCUCACGUGCGAAAGCGU
RNAcentral lists this ribosomal RNA (662 nucleotides) under Serratia marcescens. Its description in RNAcentral is "bacterial SSU rRNA". It matches the Rfam family "Bacterial small subunit ribosomal RNA", at positions 104 to 762 of the family's 1533-position model. The record is from RNAcentral. Lineage: Bacteria; Pseudomonadati; Pseudomonadota; Gammaproteobacteria; Enterobacterales; Yersiniaceae.